RNAcentral lists this ribosomal RNA (490 nucleotides) under uncultured bacterium. RNAcentral describes it as "partial 16S ribosomal RNA". It matches the Rfam family "Bacterial small subunit ribosomal RNA", at positions 30 to 507 of the family's 1533-position model. The record is from RNAcentral.
AUUGAACGCUGGCGGCAGGCCUAACACAUGCAAGUCGAACGGUAACAGGAAGCAGCUUGCUGCUUUGCUGCCGAGUGGCGGACGGGUGAGUAAUGUCUGGGAAACUGCCUGAUGGAGGGGGAUAACUACUGGAAACGGUAGCUAAUACCGCAUAACGUCGCAAGACCAAAGAGGGGGACCUUAGGGCCUCUUGCCAUCGGAUGUGCCCAGAUGGGAUUAGCUAGUAGGUGGGGUAACGGCUCACCUAGGCGACGAUCCCUAGCUGGUCUGAGAGGAUGACCAGCCACACUGGAACUGAGACACGGUCCAGACUCCUACGGGAGGCAGCAGUGGGGAAUAUUGCACAAUGGGCGCAAGCCUGAUGCAGCCAUGCCGCGUGUAUGAAGAAGGCCUUCGGGUUGUAAAGUACUUUCAGCGGGGAGGAAGGGAGUAAAGUUAAUACCUUUGCUCAUUGACGUUACCCGCAGAAGAAGCACCGGCUAACUCCGUG